Molecule: ribosomal RNA, 251 nt
Filed under: uncultured prokaryote
Description: partial 16S rRNA
Rfam family: Bacterial small subunit ribosomal RNA
Source: RNAcentral
ACGGGGGGUGCGAGCGUUGUCCGGAAUUACUGGGCGUAAAGAGCGCGUAGGCGGCUGAUUAAGUCAGAUGUGAAAUACCUGGGCUUAACCCCGGAGGGGCAUUUGAAACUGGUCGGCUAGAGGAGGGGAGAGGAAAGUGGAAUUCCUGGUGUAGCGGUGAAAUGCGUAGAUAUCAGGAGGAACACCAGUGGCGAAGGCGACUUUCUGGCCUUAUACUGACGCUGAGGCGCGAGAGCGUGGGUAGCAAACAG